CACACGGUCAUGGUUUUGUUGUUCACACGUUCACCGGUUUCAUACGGUUCUCACAGUGUCAUGUUUCGUGCGGUUGUGGCCAUGCGCUCAUAGCAUGUUUACAGCAUUAUACUGCUCAUAGCUUUUGUCAGAUGGACGUUACUACCACAGUUGCCAAGGUAUGGUUAUCACCUCUAGUAUUCACUAGUUGGUCGGGGCUACUCUUUCAGCACACAAGGAAUAGUCUACUUCGGGUCGGCUCCAUUGUAGCGUGACGCCGGUGCAGCACUGAUGGCGACCGAUGACGCAGGAUCUGAACUGACACGCAUCCAGCGAACAGUGAUACCGCCAUGGCUUGAUUAAAGAACGUGGAAGCCAGCUCAGGAUACCAGUGCUUUCUACUGACACAUGAUGCCCGUAUCAGGAACUUACCAGAACAGGAGAAAAUCCCCAAAGCAAACCUAUGCUGCUCUGUCAGAAGAGAGCACUGUGGACAAGACAAAAAAAUAAA
Hyla sarda is the source of this 490-nucleotide long non-coding RNA. RefSeq lists it as uncharacterized. The transcript is spliced from 4 exons. Lineage: Eukaryota; Metazoa; Chordata; Amphibia; Anura; Hylidae. The record is from RefSeq and is a predicted model, not a curated record.